CGAAUCCCUCCCGGUAACGCCUAGCCAGCAGCCGGAACCGAGUCUUGCAUGCGAAUGGGGUAACCCAUUACUUGAAGCGUAGACAGGGUGCACUAAGGCCGUGUGAUUGAGCCUCGAGAUCAUUUAAGCGCUGGUGUCCUCAUAUUCCAAUAAGUGGGGGCAGCACUGAGCUGGCCAUCAAGGCGAGGCCAGCCAGACCGGCCGGGGUCUGAGAGCA
RNAcentral lists this non-coding RNA (217 nucleotides) under Burkholderia sp. D7. The record is from RNAcentral. Lineage: Bacteria; Pseudomonadati; Pseudomonadota; Betaproteobacteria; Burkholderiales; Burkholderiaceae.